This is a long non-coding RNA of Pseudopipra pipra, 503 nucleotides long. RefSeq lists it as uncharacterized. The record is from RefSeq and is a predicted model, not a curated record. The transcript has 2 exons. NCBI's taxonomy places the organism in Eukaryota, Metazoa, Chordata, Aves, Passeriformes, Pipridae.
CAGGGGAGGGGGAGGAAGGCUCCCCCGCCCUUGUCCGCGGGGCUGCCACAGAGCCACAUCCCGGGGAGCGUGGCCCCGCCGCCUCCUGUCCCGCAGAACCCCCGUGGAUGGAGCUGGCCGGGCUUGGGCGAGUCGCCCAUGGACAUGCCACAGCAUCCCGGCAGCCACUCCAUAAAUGCUCUGCUUCCAUAAAAUCGGAAGUAUUUCAGUCUACCCUGAUCUCCCUAGGCUGACCAAGACAAAGGCCAGUUGGCCUGGCACAGAGCCUGCAGUGAAGCACACUCAUGGCUUCUCAUCUGUGCUGCUGGACACUCAUCUGCCCCUACAUUCGGUCUCUUGUAGCUUGAUGCUCAGCAUGACUAGUCUCUCAUUCCUACCUGUGCCUGCCAGUGAUGAGCCAGCUGCUGCCUGUCAAUGACAUGAUGCCCAUCAAAUAAACUGUACCCCCACGUCUGUAUUAACCACACUUUGUGAUAAAGAUAAAAAAUAGCUUGAUUUUUGAA